RNAcentral lists this unclassified non-coding RNA (263 nucleotides) under Hevea brasiliensis (rubber tree). The record is from RNAcentral. Lineage: Eukaryota; Viridiplantae; Streptophyta; Magnoliopsida; Malpighiales; Euphorbiaceae.
GCAGAGAUGUAGCAGCGUAGGGGUCUGUUUUUCAUCAGAAAAAGGUGAUGGGAAAGACAUAAAGCAAGAGACCGCCGGGUAUUAUUGUGUUCCAGCGGCUCAUAGCGGUUCUUUGAUGAGACGAAAUAGUGAAGGGGAAUGGGGAAGAGGAACGCCUGGGGAAGGAGGAGAAGUUGUGAAGCCAUAGGAGAGCUGAUUGAUGGACGGUGUACAGGGUCGAAGAGAUGAUCCAUCGGAAAUUGCCAUUUUUCGAUGGUCCAAAG